AUUGAACGCUGGCGGCAGGCUUAACACAUGCAAGUCGAGCGGGGUGAUGGUGCUUGCACUAUCACUUAGCGGCGGACGGGUGAGUAAUGCUUAGGAAUCUGCCUAUUAGUGGGGGACAACAUCUCGAAAGGGAUGCUAAUACCGCAUACGUCCUACGGGAGAAAGCAGGGGAUCACUUGUGACCUUGCGCUAAUAGAUGAGCCUAAGUCGGAUUAGCUAGUUGGUGGGGUAAAAGCCUACCAAGGCGACGAUCUGUAGCGGGUCUGAGAGGAUGAUCCGCCACACUGGGGCUGAGACACGGCCCAGACUCCUACGGGAGGCAGCAGUGGGGAAUAUUGGACAAUGGGGGGAACCCUGAUCCAGCCAUGCCGCGUGUGUGAAGAAGGCCUUAUGGUUGUAAAGCACUUUAAGCGAGGAGGAGGCUCUUUUGGUUAAUACCCAAGAUGAGUGGACGUUACUCGCAGAAUAAGCACCGGCUAACUCUGUGCCAGCAGCCGCAGUAA
This 503-nucleotide ribosomal RNA is filed under the name uncultured bacterium. Its description in RNAcentral is "partial 16S ribosomal RNA". It matches the Rfam family "Bacterial small subunit ribosomal RNA", at positions 30 to 523 of the family's 1533-position model. The record is from RNAcentral.